AAAAGAAGGGUGACGGGAGCAGAGUGUGUGCUCAGGAGUGAGGACUUCAGACUUUAUUCCAGGGAAGGGAAAACUAUAAAUGGGGUUGCAGUAGAGAAGUAGAGUGAUAUAGUUUUGCCGUGAAAGAAAGAUCAACAUGGAGUAUGAAUCAAUGAAGUGAUUGUCUUUAAAAGGUAGCUGUGGAUGGAUGCCUUUAUGAGAACUGUUGGAGUCUGCACCUUGAUCUAAGAAACUAAUCGGAAUGAAGGAGUGGGAGCUCCUUACAUUCUCCUGACGUAUAAACUGUGAUGGAAAAACUCUUCACCUUCCCGAGUUCUGGGAAUGCAGGAACCACAAUGCUUCUACCAGUUCCUCCCUCAUCCUGAGAGACCUCUACACUUUGGAUUCCUCUGCUUGUGAUAACAGCUAUAUUUACUUUGGUCUUUUUCAACGAGUCCUCCAAGUGUCGAUUGUUGAAGGAUAGCCUUCUGUGGCUAAGCACACAUGCUAAUAGACAUAAAUCUGUAAGCAGUUUUGGGAAGUGAUUGGGAAGAAAAAGAUACUUCAUUUGUUGCAGAGACGAUGAGGCAGAAGAUAGAGAGGCCUGGCAGGAAAGCUAUCCAGCCAGCUGCUCAGAGAGCCUCAUAAUGCCAGCCCCUUAAUGGGGUUCACAUAUCCCAAGAGCUGACCACAGCAAAUGAAGACUACAAAGUUAAUUAUCUGUUUUCCACUGCUCAAGCAUAUGGAAGAAGAGGAAAGCAACUCAGUACCUCUCAUUUCUUUCUUCUAAACACAAGGUUUAUUCCUGAUCUUCUUCCUCUACUCCCAGAAAGAGUCUUGCCCAAGAUCAACUCUGCCACUUCAAAAUAAGCGCUCUGUACUUUAAGCUGUGAUGCCAUCAUGAUCAAUGUACCUGAACAAGAAAAAUAUGUUCUCAGUCAGGGUCUAUCUCUGUUUAACCCGGUCCUGACCACCUUCCUGGAGUAGGUAGGAAGCAAUUAAAUCAAUCUUUGAGAUGUGGUGCCGGGAACCUUUUAAGUUUCCCAGGUGAUUCUACCAUGAAACCAAAGAGAAAAACUGUUCUUCUCAAUGAUCAAUUCCUGAAAGUUCCUUCCAGCUCUACUAGUCUAUGAAUGAAAGUCAAUUUUUUAUCCUUCUCUUUCUUUUUAACCAGAGUUCUCGACUUCUGUCAUUGCAGGGAGGAGCACAUUGUAGACGCCUAUUUGUUCCAAAAUUCUGACAUAGCCACAUUUGAGCAAGGAUCCAGGAAUAUAUUCCUUCAAAGAAAAAAACAUUUUCCAGGAAAAAAGUUGAGAAUACUUGGAAAUUUAAGGAAUUAUAAAAAUAUCUUUGUCUUGGGACUCCCAGCAGGCUGGACCGAUUCAGAUGGUCCCCAUUUUAAAGAAUGUGAAACGAAAAGAUCACGGAGGCCUGGUGUGUUGCAUGUUAGGAAUGAACCAUCCACCUCCCCUCCUAGACAAAAGGCUUCUACUGACUUCAGAAGAGUGACUGAUUCUGCCAGAAGCUGUUUCUGCCUAUGUGGGGUUUUCAGAGCUAAAAAUAGCAAAGAUGAUAAAAAUAUUGUAUGUAAGUGACGAAUACUAUACAAUGAUCACAUCCUAGUCAAUUAUCGUAUCCCAACAGUAGCCUGGUGGGCUGACCACCUUGGCUCUGGUUUUAUAAGUGGCCAAAAAUUUGUCUGUGCCUUAAGUGCUGCCUCUAUAGAAGUAUUUAAUUCAGAAAAUUAAUACAGGUGAUUAAAUAGUGUUUACCUUUCACUCCCACAAAAUGCAACCAUUUGGAUACCUGUUAUAUGGGAAAGAUUACUGAACAGAGCACUCUAGAAUUGGAUCUCACUUUCUUACUGAGCAUUUGCUUUUUCCAUAUUGUAUAACCUCUCAGAGACCUGGUUUCCUUAAUGCUUGGCACCUGAAAUGUCAGUAUCAGUAAUUAUAUGAAUGAAUGAAUGAACAAAUGAAUGAAUGAAUGACUAUUAGCUCCCCCCGCCUAUUAGGAUUUUGGCAAGUACCGUUUCAGAAACGAUGGUCAAAAUGUUUACAAACUGAACAAUAUCAUUAAAAAAAUGUAACGUGUUGUUAUUGUUAAAAUCAAUAAUAAUAAUAAUGGUAAUCUAAAACUGAUUAUGUAAGAAAAGAAAAAAACCUUGUUUGUGCCAUCAAAAUGCUGCCUCAGAAUCCAAGCUGUUGAUUCCCUAUAUUGUAUUCAUAAAAGAAUCACAAUUUUUUAAAGCUCUUACUAACACAAAACCCAAACACACUUAAACCAUGCUUUUUUGUUGGUUUGUCUUGGUUUGGUUUUUGAGUCAGGGUCAGGCUCUGUCGCUCAGGCUGGAGUUCAGUGGCACGAUCACAGCUCACUGCAGCCUCAACCUUCUGGGCUCAAGCAAUCUUCCCACCUCAGCCUCCUGAGUAACUGGGACCACAGGCAGUGGCCACCACUCCUGGCUAAUUUUGUUGUUGUCAUUGUUAGAGGCAGGGUUUCUCCAUGUUGCCCGGGCUGGUCUCAUACUCCUGUGCUCAAGCAAUCCUUCCGCCUCAACCUCCCAAAGUGCUGGGAUUGCAGGUUUAAGCCACCACACUUGGCCUAAAAUAUGCUUUAAAACUUAAUAAUUUUUUCUAAGAUAGUUUUUUAUUCACAUCAGAAGCAUCAGUUUAGAAGGAUGGGCAAGGUGACCAGAGAAGUGAGAGGUGAGAAUUGAUGCACUGACAGUGAGAAAGAGGACUGGGAAAAAACUGUUGAAACUUCUGGACUCAAGGACCAGACUGUGAUUAUGUAAUGCAGAUGCAAGUAUCCCACUCUUAGAAAACCCUAUGGGUAUCAUUUUAUUACAGCGUUUUGCAACUGAUAUUAAUAGUGAUGACAAAGACCACAUAAUUAGUAUGAGUAUACUCUAGUUAAAAUGCAAAGAAAUGACUAGCACACAUCUUUGGACUAUCUUCCAAUAAAAAUGCUUCUUAAAAAUUUUGGUGCUUUGAAGAGCAAUUCUCAAUUUGUGGUCCAGGAAUAUUACAUCAUUCUAUAUUUCAUUCCUCACGGGUCAGGUUUUCUCUGCCUUAAAGAUUGGUACUAACUCCAAGCAAGUCCUUUCUGUGUCUUCCCUCCCAAACCGGGGACACAUUAGCUAAAGGGUUCACCAAGCAUAGUCCUGGGGAACUGCUAACCUGCUAACCUGCUAACCUGCUAACCUGCUAGAAGACCUCAGAGACAUGGAAGUCCAUUUGUGAGUUCUUAUUGGUGGCUGACUCAUAAUUCUGCAGAACCUUACCAGUUAGAGAGCUAUUUUUAUAGCUUCCUAAUUGAAAUACUCAAGACAACUAAAAUUUGAUCAUUCACAGACUAAAAUUAGCAACUUCUUUGAGUUUGUUGAGAAUCCCAAAUUAGUAUCUUUUUUACGUUCAGCUGCCACACAAGUCUCUAACUUUACAAAUACCCCACUGUGCAUACACAUACAGACUGCACACUUUUCAUUCGGGGGGAAGAUGUGCUUUGUUAUUAAUUUGUCUUUUUGCUAUCUUAAGUUCAUUGUAAUUUUUUAAUUACUGUCAUUUUUUUGCUUUUUAAAGUAUAAAUUACUCCUUGACCUGAUCAUUUGGGUUGUGAGUUGAUUGGUUAAUCCCACAGCAUAGUGAGACAGCUGGAUCAGCAAUUUUUCUGACAUAAAACUUCAAAUCACUGGCCUUUACCACACACUUAUUUUGCAAUUCAAGCAUGACUCAUUUUCUAUUACUAAUACGUAUAUGGAAAAUCAUCCCACGUUUGGUUUCAUACAAUGCCUGUGCAUUUGCAUUGUUUAUACUCUGAAGUUAAGUGUAAUGACAUUACUGGGAGAUUUUUUCAAGUUUACAGAACACAAUUUCAUAAUAUAAAAUCUUGCGUAGAAGUUCAUAAUUUUCACCUAUACGGUAAAUAAUAAGCAAUUCAUAUAUGCUUCCACCAUGUUUAUUUGUGUAUUUCAUCCUUUGUUCUUUGCUAUCCCGAAGUUAUUUUCUACUAAAGAGUAAUAAACAGGAGUUAGGCACAGGGGAGCUUUGGCCCACUUCAAAAUGCAAGAUUAGGAGUGCAGUGGGAGGGGAGAACAGUCUUUAACCGAAGAAAAAAAGUCAGGGAGCCUUAAAAGGGCAGUUCUCUA
Long non-coding RNA from Callithrix jacchus (white-tufted-ear marmoset), 4129 nucleotides. RefSeq lists it as uncharacterized. NCBI's taxonomy places the organism in Eukaryota, Metazoa, Chordata, Mammalia, Primates, Cebidae. The record is from RefSeq and is a predicted model, not a curated record.